Molecule: ribosomal RNA, 253 nt
Filed under: uncultured bacterium
Lineage: Bacteria
Description: partial 16S ribosomal RNA
Rfam family: Bacterial small subunit ribosomal RNA
Source: RNAcentral
GACAGAGGGUGCAAGCGUUGUUCGGAAUCAUUGGGCGUAAAGCGCACGUAGGCGGUCUUGUAAGUCAGAUGUGGAAGCCCUGGGCUUAACCCAGGAAGUGCAUCUGAUACUGCAAGACUUGAGUCCCGGAGAGGGUGGUGGAAUUCCUGGUGUAGAGGUGAAAUUCGUAGAUAUCAGGAGGAACACCGGUGGCGAAGGCGACCACCUGGACGGAGACUGACGCUGAGGUGCGAAAGCAUGGGGAGCAAACAGG